CAGUGAAUAUUCUUGCUGUUCUGGUUUUAUAAUAAUCAGGGAAGGCUAAACAUUCACUACAUUAAGACCAUGCAUGUGUCCCCAGACCUAGUUCUGGGUUUAUAAAUGCUGGUGAUAAAC
Molecule: small nucleolar RNA, 120 nt
Organism: Erinaceus europaeus (western European hedgehog)
Lineage: Eukaryota; Metazoa; Chordata; Mammalia; Eulipotyphla; Erinaceidae
Gene: SNORA72
Rfam family: Small nucleolar RNA SNORA72
About the family: U72 is a member of the H/ACA class of snoRNAs. The snoRNA gene is located in intron 4 of the ribosomal L30 protein gene in human, mouse and chicken.
Source: Ensembl